This 531-nucleotide ribosomal RNA is filed under the name Triticum aestivum (bread wheat). Its description in RNAcentral is "partial small subunit ribosomal RNA". Lineage: Eukaryota; Viridiplantae; Streptophyta; Magnoliopsida; Poales; Poaceae. The record is from RNAcentral.
AUGUGCACGCGUGAUAGCCAUCUUUGGCGGGCGAGGUGCCCAAUGAUAUGCUUCUUCGCAGUCGAGUGGCACUUUGUAGACCGUGUGGCAAGACAAUUUGGAAGAAGACAAGGUAUUCCAAUUAAGGAGAGCAAGGAGGAAAUUCUAUCUCUGCAUCGGUUUGAUCGAAGGAACAAUCAGGAUAUAUCGGAUUGGGCAAACAAACACCGUGCGUGGAUAGAAAUUUGGAAUCAAAGAGACACGUUAGUGCAAUCAGAGAAUAGACCUCACAAUCAGUCAGCAUAUCAGAACUACCAAGUGUGGUAUGCGGAUCGUUGCCGGUUAAAGCUGAAGCCUGGUUGGACUCAUGAGGAGUGGUCGGAGUUGGUGUCUGAAGAGCCGGAGACUGCACAAGAUUAUCAAACCUUCAACAUGGCUGUGAGAGACACCAGAGGGGCUCACGUUGACUAUGCACCGAUGCAUGAUGAAAUGGUAGUCUGUUUGACCUAUUCUAACAUACUUGCAUCAUGUUGUCUUCUUUCAAAUACAUAA